Molecule: long non-coding RNA, 409 nt
Organism: Hyla sarda
Lineage: Eukaryota; Metazoa; Chordata; Amphibia; Anura; Hylidae
Exons: 4
Source: RefSeq, a predicted model, not a curated record
AUUUGCUGUUCCUGCAACAAAACUGCAUAUGUAAGGGUUAAAAUGGAUAACCUUAAAAGACCGGGGCCAAAGCACAGGAGACUGAUUCCAGGAACAUCGGGGAAGCGGCAGAAGAAAAAGAAAAACUAAAGUGACAAGACUUGGAUUCAUGACAAAAUGGACACCAUCUGCACCUGAUGGACCCCAUUGAGGCCAAUGCUUCAUGCCACACAGCCAGGCCAGUUAAGGUGUGGAUGGAGGACCACCAGAUCAAGACCCUGUCAUGGCCAGCCCAAUGACCUGAACCCCAUUGAAAAUGUCUGGAGUUUUAUCAAAAGGAAGAUGGAUGGUCACAAACCAUCAAACAAAGUCAAGCUAUUAGAAUUUUUGUGCCAGAACUGGAAUUAAAUCACCCAACAGUAAUGUGACU